Molecule: ribosomal RNA, 439 nt
Filed under: uncultured bacterium
Lineage: Bacteria
Description: partial 16S ribosomal RNA
Rfam family: Bacterial small subunit ribosomal RNA
Source: RNAcentral
CCUACGGGUGGCAGCAGUGGGGAAUAUUGCACAAUGGGGGAAACCCUGAUGCCGCAACGCCGCGUGAGUGAAGAAGUAUUUCGGUAUGUAAAGCUCUAUCAGCAGGGAAGAAGAUGACGGUACCUGAUUAAGAAGCCCCGGCUACCUACGUGCCAGCAGCCGCGGUAAUACGUAGGGGGCAAGCGUUAUCCGGAUUUACUGGGUGUAAAGGGCGUGUAGCCGGGCUGACAAGUCAGAUGUGAAAUCCGGUGGCUCAAACCCCGAACUGCAGUUGAAACUGUUGGUCUUGAGUAUCGGAGAGGCAGGCGGUAUUCCUAGUGUAGCGGUGAAAUGCGUAGAUAUGAGGAGGAACACCAGUGGCGAAGGCGGCCUGCUGGACGACAACUGACGGUGAGGCGCGAAAGCGUGGGGAGCAAACAGGAUUAGAUACCCGGUAGUC